UGGGGAAUAUUGGACAAUGGGCGCAAGCCUGAUCCAGCCAUGCCGCGUGGAUGAUGAAGGCCCUAGGGUUGUAAAGUCCUUUCGACGGGGAAGAUAAUGACGGUACCCGUAGAAGAAGCCCCGGCUAACUUCGUGCCAGCAGCCGCGGUAAUACGAAGGGGGCUAGCGUUGCUCGGAAUCACUGGGCGUAAAGCGCACGUAGGCGGACUCUUAAGUCGGUGGUGAAAUCCUGGAGCUCAACUCCAGAACUGCCUUCGAUACUGAGAGUCUCGAGUCCGAGAGAGGUGAGUGGAACUGCGAGUGUAGAGGUGAAAUUCGUAGAUAUUCGCAAGAACACCAGUGGCGAAGGCGGCUCACUGGCUCGGUACUGACGCUGAGGUGCGAAAGCGUGGGGAGCAAACAGGAUUAGAUACCCGCGUAGUCCCUGAGCGGGCUGGCAAGGCGCAU
This 447-nucleotide ribosomal RNA is filed under the name uncultured bacterium. Its description in RNAcentral is "bacterial SSU rRNA". It matches the Rfam family "Bacterial small subunit ribosomal RNA", at positions 355 to 825 of the family's 1533-position model. The record is from RNAcentral.